GUAGGGUGCGAGCGUUAAUCGGAAUUACCGGGGCGUAAAGCGUGCGCAGGCGGCUUUGCAAGACAGAUGUGAAAUCCCCCGGGGCUCAACCUGGGGAACUGCAUUUGUGACUGCAAGGCUAGAGUACGGCAGAGGGGGAUGGAAUUCCGCGUGUAGCAGUGAAAUGCGUAGAUAUGCGGAGGAACACCGAUGGCGAAGGCAAUCCCCUGGGCCUGUACUGACGCUCAUGCACGAAAGCGUGGGGAGCAAACAGGAUUAGAUACCCUGGUAGUCCACGCCCUAAACGAUGUCAACUGGUUGUUGGACGGCUUGCUGUUCAGUAACGAAGCUAACGCGUGAAGUUGACCGCCUGGGGAGUACGGCCGCAAGGUUG
Molecule: ribosomal RNA, 373 nt
Filed under: uncultured organism
Description: partial 16S ribosomal RNA
Rfam family: Bacterial small subunit ribosomal RNA
Source: RNAcentral